Molecule: transfer RNA, 29 nt
Filed under: Lucania goodei (bluefin killifish)
Lineage: Eukaryota; Metazoa; Chordata; Actinopteri; Cyprinodontiformes; Fundulidae
Also listed under: 1 other name
Description: partial tRNA-Thr
Source: RNAcentral
CGCAUUAGUAGCUCAGCGUCAGAGCCCCG